Molecule: transfer RNA, 94 nt
Filed under: Pseudomonas syringae
Lineage: Bacteria; Pseudomonadati; Pseudomonadota; Gammaproteobacteria; Pseudomonadales; Pseudomonadaceae
Also listed under: 5 other names
Description: tRNA-OTHER
Source: RNAcentral
GCUCCUGUAACCUUUUGUAUAUAUUAGGAUUUUAUGGGGACUUAAAAUCCCUCGUCCUUUGGACGUGCCGGUUCGACCCCGGCUCGGGGCACCA